GGAUUUGCAAAACAUCAUAAUCUGUUUUCAUUUAUGUGUUACACAACGUCCCAACUUCAUUGGUAUUGGGGUGUAUAAUUUGAAUCACUACUCCAGCCAGCUAGUGAGGGUAUUCAAAAAGAAGGGAGGAACAGCUGGACGCAAUAUCAGCAUGAUCAUGGCAGUCAUGGACAAAGCGUUGAAGAGAACAGCGAGGGAGGCAGAGGUUGGUCCAAAUUUGGCAAAGCUCCACAUAAAAGACGAAUUCAUGAGGAUCACAACAGUUAAUCUGGAACACACAUUUAUUACAAAUCUGGAUGCUCAUAUGCCAAAGCUUCUGGACCUUUUGAAAGGAAAAGGAGGGUCUGCAGGGACAAAGAUUCGACCCCUUUUGGAUUCACUGGCAAAGAACAAUGAUCUAGACCAGAGAUGAGAUCUUGUCAUCCGUGGCCUCAUAUUAUAUCUUGGUGAAAAUGGAGAAGAUCUACUCAAACAUUAUCAGG
Molecule: long non-coding RNA, 482 nt
Organism: Pygocentrus nattereri (red-bellied piranha)
Lineage: Eukaryota; Metazoa; Chordata; Actinopteri; Characiformes; Serrasalmidae
Exons: 4
Source: RefSeq, a predicted model, not a curated record